GCAGGCCUAACACAUGCAAGUCGAGCGGAAACGAGUUAACUGAACCUUCGGGGAACGUUAACGGCGUCGAGCGGCGGACGGGUGAGUAAUGCCUGGGAAAUUGCCCUGAUGUGGGGGAUAACCAUUGGAAACGAUGGCUAAUACCGCAUAAUAGCUUCGGCUCAAAGAGGGGGACCUUCGGGCCUCUCGCGUCAGGAUAUGCCCAGGUGGGAUUAGCUAGUUGGUGAGGUAAUGGCUCACCAAGGCGACGAUCCCUAGCUGGUCUGAGAGGAUGAUCAGCCACACUGGAACUGAGACACGGUCCAGACUCCUACGGGAGGCAGCAGUGGGGAAUAUUGCACAAUGGGCGCAAGCCUGAUGCAGCCAUGCCGCGUGUGUGAAGAAGGCCUUCGGGUUGUAAAGCACUUUCAGUCGUGAGGAAGGCGGUGUAGUUAAUAGCUGCAUCGUUUGACGUUAGCGACAGAAGAAGCACCGGCUAACUCCGUGCCAGCAGCCGCGGUAAUACGGAGGGUGCGAGCGUUAAUCGGAAUUACUGGGCGUAAAGCGCAUGCAGGUGGUUAGUUAAGUCAGAUGUGAAAGCCCGGGGCUCAACCUCGGAACUGCAUUUGAAACUGGCUGACUAGAGUACUGUAGAGGGGGGUAGAAUUUCAGGUGUAGCGGUGAAAUGCGUAGAGAUCUGAAGGAAUACCGGUGGCGAAGGCGGCCCCCUGGACAGAUACUGACACUCAGAUGCGAAAGCGUGGGGAGCAAACAGGAUUAGAUACCCUGGUAGUCCACGCCGUAAACGAUGUCUACUUGGAGGUUGUGGCCUUGAGCCGUGGCUUUCGGAGCUAACGCGUUAAGUAGACCGCCUGGGGAGUACGGUCGCAAGAUUAAAACUCAAAUGAAUUGACGGGGGCCCGCACAAGCGGUGGAGCAUGUGGUUUAAUUC
This 931-nucleotide ribosomal RNA is filed under the name bacterium WP2ISO8. RNAcentral describes it as "bacterial SSU rRNA". It matches the Rfam family "Bacterial small subunit ribosomal RNA", at positions 42 to 952 of the family's 1533-position model. The record is from RNAcentral.